UACGUAGGGUGCAAGCGUUGUCCGGAAUUAUUGGGCGUAAAGGGCUCGUAGGCGGUCCAUCGCGUCGGGAGUGAAAAGCUGGGGCUUAACCCCAGUCCUGCUUCCGAUACGGGUGGACUAGAGGUAGGUAGGGGAGAUCGGAAUUCCUGGUGUAGCGGUGAAAUGCGCAGAUAUCAGGAGGAACACCGGUGGCGAAGGCAAUCCCCUGGGCCUGCACUGACGCUCAUGCACGAAAGCGUGGGGAGCAAACAGG
Molecule: ribosomal RNA, 253 nt
Filed under: uncultured bacterium
Lineage: Bacteria
Description: partial 16S ribosomal RNA
Rfam family: Bacterial small subunit ribosomal RNA
Source: RNAcentral